RNAcentral lists this ribosomal RNA (491 nucleotides) under uncultured bacterium. RNAcentral's name for it is "partial 16S ribosomal RNA". It matches the Rfam family "Bacterial small subunit ribosomal RNA", at positions 29 to 506 of the family's 1533-position model. The record is from RNAcentral.
AGUGAACGCUGGCGGUAGGCCUAACACAUGCAAGUCGAACGGCAGCACAGUAAGAGCUUGCUCUUACGGGUGGCGAGUGGCGGACGGGUGAGGAAUACAUCGGAAUCUACUUUUUCGUGGGGGAUAACGUAGGGAAACUUACGCUAAUACCGCAUACGACCUACGGGUGAAAGCAGGGGAUCUUCGGACCUUGCGCGAUUGAAUGAGCCGAUGUCGGAUUAGCUAGUUGGCGGGGUAAAGGCCCACCAAGGCGACGAUCCGUAGCUGGUCUGAGAGGAUGAUCAGCCAAACUGGAACUGAGACCCGGUCCAGACCCCUAGGGGGGGCAGCAGGGGGGAAUUUUGGAAAAGGGGCGAAAGCCUGAUCCAGCCAUACCGGGUGGGGGAAGAAGGCCUUCGGGUUGUAAAGCCCUUUUGUUGGGAAAAAAAAUCAGCAGGUUAAUACCCCGCGGUUCUGACGGUACCCAAAGAAUAAGCACCGGCUAACUUCGU